GACGAACGCUGGCGGCGUGCUUAACACAUGCAAGUCGAGCGGUAAGGCCCUUUCGGGGUACGACGAGCGGCGAACGGGUGAGUAACACGUGGGUGGACCUCGCCCUCCAGCUCUGGGAGUAAGCCUGGGAAACGUAGGGUCGUAAUACCGGAUAUGACUCCAUGACGCAUGUUGUGGGGUGGAAAGCCUUGUGCGGCUGAGGAUGGGCCCGGCGGCCUAUCAGCUUGUUGGUGGGGUGAGGCCUACCAAGGCGACGACGGGUAGCCGGCCUGAGGGGCGACCGGCCACACUGGGACUGAGACACGGCCCAGACUCCGUACGGGAGGCAGCAGGUGGGGAAUCUUGCGACAAUGGGCGAAAGCCUGACGCAGCGACGCCGCGUG
Molecule: ribosomal RNA, 383 nt
Filed under: uncultured bacterium
Lineage: Bacteria
Description: bacterial SSU rRNA
Rfam family: Bacterial small subunit ribosomal RNA
Source: RNAcentral